This 3002-nucleotide ribosomal RNA is filed under the name Thiotrichaceae bacterium. RNAcentral describes it as "bacterial LSU rRNA". It matches the Rfam family "Bacterial large subunit ribosomal RNA". Lineage: Bacteria; Pseudomonadati; Pseudomonadota; Gammaproteobacteria; Thiotrichales; Thiotrichaceae. The record is from RNAcentral.
GUUAUAUGGUCAAGUGAAUAAGCGCACAUGGUGAAUGCCUUGGCGAUAAGAGGCGAUGAAGGGCGUAGUGAUCUGCGAAAAGCAUUGGUGAGCUGAUAACGAGCUUUGAUCCAAUGAUUCCCGAAUGGGGCAACCCAGCUAGCGUAAGCUAGUUAUCCUAACCUGAAUACAUAGGGUUAGGAGGCAAACCCGGAGAACUGAAACAUCUAAGUACCCGGAGGAAAAGAAAUCAACCGAGAUUUCCCUAGUAGCGGCGAGCGAACGGGAAACAGCCUGCAAGUGAUAKUWUWUGUAKUAGUGGAAUCARCUGGRAAGYUGAGCGAUACAGGGUGAUAGCCCCGUACACGAAAMUGCGKAWWUGGUACUAGGCUUGCGACAAGUAGGGCGGRGCACGAGAAACYUUGUCUGAACAUGGGGGGACCAUCCUCCAAGGCUAAAUACUMCUUAUCGACCGAUAGUGAACCAGUACCGUGAGGGAAAGGCGAAAAGAACCCCGUUAAGGGGAGUGAAAUAGAACCUGAAACCGUGUGCGUACAAGCAGUAGGAGCAUAYUURUUAUGUGACUGCGUACCUUUUGUAUAAUGGGUCAGCGACUUAAUUUAUGUAGCGAGCUUAACCGAAUAGGGGAGGCGAAGGGAAACCGAGUCUGAAUAGGGCGACUAGUUGCAUGGAUUAGACCCGAAACCUGGCGAUCUAUCCAUGGCCAGGGUGAAGGUGGGGUAACACCUACUGGAGGCCCGAACCCACGUAUGUUGAAAAAUGCGGGGAUGAGCUGUGGAUCGGAGUGAAAGGCUAAUCAAGCCAGGAGAUAGCUGGUUCUCCUCGAAAGCUAUUUAGGUAGCGCCUCGCGUCUCACUCUUGGGGGUAGAGCACUGUUACGGCUAGGGGGUCAUCCCGACUUACCAACCCGUUGCAAACUCCGAAUACCAAGAAGUGCAAUCGCGGGAGACACACRGUGGGUGAUAACGUCCAUYGUGRAAAGGGAAACAACCCAGACCAUCAGCUAAGGUCCCAAAAUUAUCACUCAGUGGAAAACGAUGUGGGAAGGCAUAGACAGCUAGGAGGUUGGCUUAGAAGCAGCCAUUCUUUAAAGAAAGCGUAAUAGCUCACUAGUCGAGUCGGCCUGCGCGGAAGAUUUACCGGGGCUUAAGUGAUAUACCGAAGCUAUGGAUGCGGUGCAUCUUUAAGUUUAUUUAGACAAAGCUGCCAUCGAAGAUGGCCAAGCGGCCCCCGAACGUUGAGUUGGGCGUGUGAGAAAGUUUUAAUAAGUAGAUUUAAAGAUGCACCGCAUGGUAGAGGAGCGUUCUGUAAGCGGAUGAAGCCGUCCUGUAAGGGGUGGUGGACGUAUCAGAAGUGCGAAUGCUGACAUGAGUAACGAUAAAGGGGGUGAGAGGCCCCCUCGCCGAAAAUCCAAGGUUUCCUGCUCAACGCUAAUCGGAGCAGGGUGAGUCGGCCCCUAAGGCGAGGCAGAAAUGCGUAGUCGAUGGGAAACAGGUUAAUAUUCCUGUACCUCUUGUWACUGCGAUGGGAUGACGGAGAAGGUUAGAUCAGCACGGCGAAUGGUUGUCCGUGUUCAAGCGUGUAGGUGGGCUGUUUAGGUAAAUCCGGACGGCUGUAUAACACUGAGGCGUGAUAACGAGUCCAUUAUUGGAUGAAGUGAUUGAUACCCAGCUUCCAAGAAAAGUCUCUAAGCUCUAGGUAACAAGGGACCGUACCCCAAACCGACACAGGUGGAUGGGAUGAGAAUUCUAAGGCGCUUGAGAGAACUCUGGUGAAGGAACUAGGCAAAAUAGCACCGUAACUUCGGGAGAAGGUGUGCCCCUAUUAAGUGAAGCGACUUGCUCGUGGAGCAGAACGGGGUUGCAGUGAAAUGGUGGCUGCGACUGUUUAUUAAAAACACAGCACUCUGCAAACUCGCAAGAGGACGUAUAGGGUGUGACGCCUGCCCGGUGCCGGAAGGUUAAUUGAUGAGGUUAGAACUUCGGUUCGAAGCUUUUGAUCGAAGCCCCGGUAAACGGCGGCCGUAACUAUAACGGUCCUAAGGUAGCGAAAUUCCUUGKCGGGUAAGUUCCGWCCUGCACGAAUGGCGUAACGACUUCCCCACUGUCUCGACCCGGGACUCAGCGAAAUCGACUUUGGGGUGAAGAUGCCCCAUACCCGCGGAUAGACGGAAAGACCCCGUGAACCUUCACUGCAGCUUGGCACUGGUUUUCGGGCUUACCUGUGUAGGAUAGGUGGGAGACGUUGAAGCGGGGCCGCUAGGUUCUGUGGAGUCAACCUUGAAAUACCACCCUGAUAAGUCUGGAAACCUAACCGCGGCCCGUUAUCCGGGUCCGGGACACUGCCUGGUGGGUAGUUUGACUGGGGCGGUCACCUCCGAAAGAGUAACGGAGGCGCGCAAAGGUUCCCUCAGGCUGAUUGGAAACCAGCCGUAGAGUGUAAAAGCAGAAGGGAGCUUGACUGCAACACAUACAAGUGAAGCAGGGACGAAAGUCGGCUUUAGUGAUCCGGUGGUUCUGUGUGGAAGGGCCAUCGCUCAAAGGAUAAAAGGUACGCCGGGGAUAACAGGCUGAUCUCCCCCAAGAGUUCAYAUCGACGGGGAGGUUUGGCWCCUCGAUGUCGGCUCAUCGCAUCCUGGGGCUGUAGKMGGUCCCAAGGGUUUGGCUGUUCGCCAAUUAAAGCGGUACGCGAGCUGGGUUUAGACCGUCGUGAGACAGGUCGGUCCCUAUCUGGCGUGGGUGUAGGAUGAUUGUGGAGGUUUUCCCUUAGUACGAGAGGAUUAGGGAGGACGACCCUCUGGUGUUCCAGUUAUCACGCUAGUGGUAUAGCUGGGUAGCUACGGUCGGAACGGAUAAGCGCUGAAUGCAUCUAAGCGCGAAGCUUUCUCCAAGACGAGUCAUCCCUAUCAGUCCCCUGGGAGACUACCAGGUUGAUAGGCCGGCGGUGUAAGCAUGGCAACAUGUUGAGCUUACCGGUACUAAUAGGACGAUCGGCUUAACCAC